This 505-nucleotide ribosomal RNA is filed under the name uncultured Pseudomonadota bacterium. RNAcentral describes it as "bacterial SSU rRNA". It matches the Rfam family "Bacterial small subunit ribosomal RNA", at positions 24 to 486 of the family's 1533-position model. Lineage: Bacteria; Pseudomonadati; Pseudomonadota. The record is from RNAcentral.
UCAGGAUGAACGCUGGCGGCAUGCCUAAGACAUGCAAGUCGAACGAGAUGGCCCAGUGAAAGUUGCGUGCUUGCACAAGACUGGAUCUGGAUCACCAUCUAGUGGCAGACGGGUGAGUAACACGUGGGUGACCUACCUUUUCGUUGGGGAUAACAGUUGGAAACGAUUGCUAAUACCGAAUAAAAUAUAAGAGUCGAUUUUAUAUUGAAAGGAGCCUUUAAAGCUUCGCGAUUAGAUGGGCCUGCGGCGUAUUAACUAGUUGGUGGGGUAAUGGCCUACCAAGGUAACGAUGCGUAGCCGAACUGAGAGGUUGAUCGGCCACACUGGGACUGAGACACGGCCCAGACUCCUACGGGAGACAGCAGUUAGGAAUAUUCGUCAAUGGAGGAAACUCUGAACGAGCAAUGCCGCGUGAGUGAUGAAGGUCUUAUAGAUUGUAAAACUCUGUUGUAUGGAAAAAACGACUAGGUUAGGAAAUGAACUUAGUGUGAUGGUACCAUACCAG